Pocillopora verrucosa is the source of this 1537-nucleotide non-coding RNA. NCBI's taxonomy places the organism in Eukaryota, Metazoa, Cnidaria, Anthozoa, Scleractinia, Pocilloporidae. The record is from RefSeq and is a predicted model, not a curated record.
UUUUUCAUUCAGUUUGCAUCAUAAAGACGAAUGGAAACUAUUUGUUUUGCCAAACAAAGGAGAUGAGAGUGAUACCUUCCAGCAACAAGUCGAGAAGUUGUUAUCCUUCUUAAAGAACGAAAUGGCUGAAUGUGACACACAGGUCUUGGACCAUUCAAGAAAUAAUGAGGAAAGCCUACUUCAAGAGUUUAGCUCGUCUUACACACAUCAGGAAUUGUAAAAGAACUCCACAAGACCUAAAAAAGAACACCACAGUUUCUUUUUGAAGAAUUCAGAUGUCCUAAAGGUUUAUGACAUAAAUCUUACUCUAGACUAACUUCUUUGCCACAAGCAGAUCACUUCACUUUCACUACCUCAAACCAUUUCUUGGGGCAGACUCUGCAAAGCCAUUUAUGUAUUCGGGUAAAAGAGAUCUUUUAAACUCGGAUGUACGUAUAUUAUAUCAUAAUACAGGUUUAAACUAUCUCUUCUUUACUGAACUGUUGGAAUUUUUCAUACAGACACAAUUCAACAUCUCGAGGUAAUUUCAGGUAUUAUGUUAGAAUUCAUUUCCUCAGAAAUUUAAAGUCUAUAGCCAUCUCGAGUGGGAAAACUCGAUUAUCUCAGUAUCCCACAACCCCCUCCGCCUCUUACCCUUGACUCUCCCCCCCUGGCCAGGCUUACAAAGGCACGACUUUAACUUCAGCAUUUUACUCUUGGGUGGCCCUAAAAUUGGGGAAAAAUUUCCCAGUAUCAUUUGUCACAUAUCAUCGGUCGAAAGGAAGAAUUCACAAAACUAGAAAUCUAUUCAGUUGACAGAAAACAUGCCUUUGACUUGCUGGCUGUCACAGAAUAUAUUAUUCGCAUUUUCAUAUUCUAAAAGUCUGCCGUACAUAUAUAUAGAUACAUAAAUUAUUCUUAAGUUUUUAAACGUUAUGCAAGGAAGUGUAAAUAUUCGGAGUAUAAAUGAUAUUUUUUCUGUAAGCUACUGCCUAGUUUUACACCAACAUUUGUGUCUCGUUUGAUAUACCUGAUUCGAGCAGCAAUUUGUCCUUAAAGGUUGCUUGUUUCAAAUAUAAGCAAGUUUUUAGCUAUCGUAGCCGUUUUGGUAGUAAGUGAUUCAGAGCUUCCAUACUCAGUUAAAAUUUCUAAGAGCCGUCAUAUGUAGAUUUUAAGCUACAUUUAAAAAUGACCAUAAGUCCAUUUUAAAAGGCUGAGAACCAAUAACACCUUUUCUAUAAAAAGAUAGCUAGUUGUGACGCUUUGAAAAACCUCAAACUUAUUUUGCCUCGUCUACGGAAAAAGAAUAUACAUAUCAUUUGUUGAAAAUUGACCUUAAUUUUUGUAAAAUUGUUCUCUUUCAUAUAAAGCUACAUUUCCUAUACAAAUAAUGAUGGCGAAGGUCCAUUUUGUAAUUAUUAGAUAAUUUCUGAGGAUAUUUUUGUCUUACUCGAGAGCGUGCUUCCUUGGAGCUGCAUUAUUUGCAGAAGCAUGAAACGUAAGGAUAAUCCAAAAAUUUGUUUAAAAAACUAUUGAAAUUAAGUAUUAAAUAAAAUAU